CCAAUAGCGUAUAUUAAAGUUGUUGCAGUUAAAAAGCUCGUAGUUGAAUUUCGGGAUCAGCGGGUUGGUCUUGCCACUGGUAUGUACUAGCUUGCUGAUUCCUCCUUCUUGUAGAACCGUAAUGCCAUUAAUUUGGUGUUGCGGGGAAACAGGACUGUUGCUUUGAAAAAAUUAGAGUGUUUAAAGCAGGCUAGCGCCUGAAUACAUUAGCAUGGAAUAAUGAAAUAGGACGUUCGAACCUAUUUUGUUGGUUUCUAGGAUUGACGUAAUGAUUAAUAGGGAUAGUUGAGGGCAUUAGUAUUAAAUUGUCAGAGGUGAAAUUCUUGGAUUUAUUGAGGACUGACUACUGCGAAAGCAUUUGCCAAGGAUGUUUUCAUUAAUCAAGAACGAAAGUUAGGGGAUCGAAGACGAUCAGAUACCGUCGUAGUCUUAACCAUAAACUAUGCCGACUAGGGAUCGGAUGAUGUUAAUUUUUUAAUGACUCAUUCGGCGCCUUACG
RNAcentral lists this ribosomal RNA (499 nucleotides) under uncultured Glomeromycotina. RNAcentral's name for it is "partial small subunit ribosomal RNA". It matches the Rfam family "Eukaryotic small subunit ribosomal RNA", at positions 591 to 1092 of the family's 1831-position model. Lineage: Eukaryota; Fungi; Glomeromycota. The record is from RNAcentral.